AAGGCUGUACUUUCAGCAAUCAUUUCUACAGUUCCUCACCAGAGACGCUUCUCUGAACGUUAGGGCGCCAGAAACCAGGUUGAGGAGGCGCAGCAGCCUUUUAGGGGGAAGCUGCUCUCGGCGCUGCUUUGCUGCACCUGCACUUGUCAUCCAUGGCCUUUCUUCUCUUCCUGUGGGGGCGUAAGAGAGAGAGAAUGCGGUCUGAAUGGC
Small nucleolar RNA from Cynocephalus volans (Philippine flying lemur), 210 nucleotides. RefSeq annotates it as small nucleolar RNA U3. The transcript has a single exon. NCBI's taxonomy places the organism in Eukaryota, Metazoa, Chordata, Mammalia, Dermoptera, Cynocephalidae. The record is from RefSeq and is a predicted model, not a curated record.